AUUGAACGCUGGCGGCAUGCUUUACACAUGCAAGUCGAACGGUAACAGGCCGCAAGGUGCUGACGAGUGGCGAACGGGUGAGUAAUGCAUCGGAACGUGCCCAGUCGUGGGGGAUAACGCAGCGAAAGCUGCGCUAAUACCGCAUACGAUCUAUGGAUGAAAGCGGGGGACCGUAAGGCCUCGCGCGAUUGGAGCGGCCGAUGUCAGAUUAGGGUAGUUGGUGGGGUAAAGGCUCACCAAGCCAACGAUCUGUAGCUGGUCUGAGAGGACGACCAGCCACACUGGGACUGAGACACGGCCCAGACUCCUACGGGAGGCAGCAGUGGGGAAUUUUGGACAAUGGGCGCAAGCCUGAUCCAGCAAUGCCGCGUGCAGGAAGAAGGGCCUUCGGGUUGGUAAACGUAGCUUUUGUUACGGUAACGGAAAAGGACGUCUGGUUAAUAUCCAUAGCUGCUGACGAUACCUGAAGAAUAAGACACCGGCUAACUACGU
This 492-nucleotide ribosomal RNA is filed under the name uncultured bacterium. RNAcentral's name for it is "bacterial SSU rRNA". It matches the Rfam family "Bacterial small subunit ribosomal RNA", at positions 30 to 506 of the family's 1533-position model. The record is from RNAcentral.